GACAGAGGGUGCAAACGUUGCUCGGAAUUACUGGGCGUAAAGCGCGUGUAGGCGGACCACCAAGUCGGACGUGAAAGCCCUGAGCUCAACUCAGGAACUGCAUCCGAAACUGGCGGUCUGGAGUAGUGGAGAGGAAAGCAGAAUUCCUGGUGUAGAGGUGAAAUUCGUAGAUAUCAGGAGGAACACCGGUGGCGAAGGCGGCUUCCUGGACCGACACUGACGCUGAGGCGCGAAAGCUAGGGGAGCAAACGGG
RNAcentral lists this ribosomal RNA (253 nucleotides) under uncultured bacterium. RNAcentral describes it as "partial 16S ribosomal RNA". It matches the Rfam family "Bacterial small subunit ribosomal RNA", at positions 524 to 776 of the family's 1533-position model. The record is from RNAcentral.